RNAcentral lists this unclassified non-coding RNA (24 nucleotides) under Mus musculus (house mouse). RNAcentral describes it as "oocyte_clustered_small_RNA9846". The record is from RNAcentral. Lineage: Eukaryota; Metazoa; Chordata; Mammalia; Rodentia; Muridae.
UGUCGGCCCCGGGUCCCAGCUGUA